GAAGGAAAUCGUCCCCGGUGGGGCGGCUGGUCUUCAAAACCGGUUGGGGCAGCGAGCCUGUCCCGGGUGGGUUCGACUCCCACUUCCUUCC
Molecule: transfer RNA, 91 nt
Filed under: uncultured Paracoccus sp.
Lineage: Bacteria; Pseudomonadati; Pseudomonadota; Alphaproteobacteria; Rhodobacterales; Paracoccaceae
Description: Selenocysteine transfer RNA
Rfam family: Selenocysteine transfer RNA
Source: RNAcentral